RNAcentral lists this long non-coding RNA (1340 nucleotides) under Ananas comosus (pineapple). Its description in RNAcentral is "long non-coding RNA (ACOM_LNC035081)". The record is from RNAcentral. Lineage: Eukaryota; Viridiplantae; Streptophyta; Magnoliopsida; Poales; Bromeliaceae.
CACCACGUCGUCGUUGUUCUAGUUAGUUAAUUUGCGAAUUAUUUACGAAUUUUUGAAGAUACAAAUUAAACGGCUGUUUUCGUAUUUUUUGAAAAAUUCAAAAAAAUACGCGUUAUUUUCAUCAAAAAUAAUUAUUCGCGAUUCACGAAUGAUUCGCCCAAAAAUUCGGCGCUCGCGGUCGCGGACGGGUGGCCGCGGGUCGCGUCGUCGCCGCUCUCAUUGCUGAACUCGUCUGUGUUGUCGUCCUCCUCCUCCUCCGCCGCCCUGGCCGGCGCCGGGACCAAGAGGGCCGCGGGGCGUUGUCCGUCUCGCCCGUGGCCGCCUGCGGAAAAGCGCGGCGUUGGGAGCGCAUUGAUCGCGCGCAAUCCACGAGGCCACUCUGGCCUCGUGGACCGCAUGAGAGGGAGGUCCAUAGUGAACCUCCAUCUCAUUAUAUAUAUAUAUAUAUAUAUAUAUAUAUAUAGUCCUGCUGGGGUACAAUCGAUAGCACCAAGGAUUUGGUGCUAUCGGGUUUUCCAUCGUUAGAUUCAACCCUUUGAUUAUUUUUACCCGUUAGAUUAUACUAUUCAACCAACCACUCACUUAACCCUAAAGGGCCCACAUCAUUCUAACCACCCAUUUAUCAAUCCAAAGGCUAAAAAAUCAAUGGCACUAAUAGUUUUGUAUUAUUGAUAGUAUUUCAGCCUAGUUCUAUAUAUAUAUAUAUAGUCCAGCUAUGGUGCUUGUAAGUUUUUUACCGUUAGAUUUACUCAUCGGAUCAUUUUUAAUUAUUAGAUUAUACUAUUCAACCAACCACCCACUCAACCCUAAGGGGUCCACAUCAUCCUAACCGCAUAUCUCUUAAUCUAAUGGCUAAAAAUUUACAAACACCAAUAACUUACUUUUAAAAGCAUAGGAGCUCAAUUAUAUAUAUAUAUAUAUAUAUAUAUAUAUAUAUAAAAUUGACUAUACUAAUAUCUACCCCCGUAUCGCGCUAGUCUGAACAUUAAAAUGUAAGGUCUAAUACAUUCCCGUAUUUUUUUUUGAAUUUAAACUCGGAAAAUACAAAUUGAAUAUCCGUCCAUGCCGGUGUAAUAUCCCUUAUGGCUCGGGCUUGUAUAUUGCUGUUCUUGGUGCUUCUGGUCGCGGAUCCGAGGUAACGUAAUCGGUAACCGAGGCUAGAGAGGUAAGAAAAUAGCGAUAGAAAUUGGGAUUGAGAUAGAGAGAAGAGAAAUAGAAGUAGAGAGAUAGACAGAUGAGGAUCGAGAGGUGAGGGUUAGGGAAAAGAGUUGGGAUAGAGAUAAGGGAUAGAGAAGAAGAAGGGUUUGGAGAAGAACCUUUGGGGGAGAAAUAGACUAUUU